UGGUAGUGCUAAACCACUACGGAUGCAAUAUACUUUCGGCCGCUAGAGCUCUCGUGGCGCUCUUCCAUGUUUUGGCACCCCGGGAAAUUUGAAUUCGCAGAAGAAGAAGAAGAAAACACACAGCGGCGAUCUGCCUCGGUAGUUUAAUUAAACGCAUUCCCAGCGCAUCUAUCAAAGUUCUUGUAGAGGCCACUGUUUGUACACGUCCUAUGCCCUUGCUAUCAUCUUUUCCUGGUAUCCAAGCAGAUCCUCAGACAGAUACAGGAACUACAUAUAUGCCACCUCUGCCUAUGCUGGCCUUGCAUGCGACCCGUACUGGACCUGUGAAGACUGAUGGCAGGGGGUUUGUACUGGACCACAAACGCAGAGCCCAUUGACAACUUGCUUAAUAAACACCAUGGGAAGAAGGACAUCCUCGGGACUAUGCAGCAAUGGUCCACAAUUCCUCUACUGAUCCAAACAGCAUGCUCCAUUCGACCACAAAACUACACAUUUCACAGUAUGACAAGCACCUGGCCAAACUGCUGAACACCAGUUCAGCCUUAAACAACUCCAGAGAAACGUCUUUAAAGCAGGUAGUAAAACAACCAGAGCGCCAGUGGUAACAAUGAAGCCUGUGGAUGUAAACCCACCAGCACCUGCUCUGACCACACUCCUAACUCAUGACACCAUUGAGAGAAUUGUAUUAUGGAGCGCCAGCAGCAACCGGAGCAGGAGAAGAAACAAACAAACAAAGACUUGUCUUGCUUGUGGACAGCCAAAGAUGGUUCCUCUAUCCACUUUUGUUUUAAUCAGCAAGGCCCUGUCAGGUACUUCUACUGUUCCACAAAGGUUUUUAAUGCUUCCAGUGAUUAAGGACUAACAAACCCCAGAAUGCCAUUCCAAGACUUUAUGGAAAUGGAGUUUUUUAAGAGUGAACUUGAGGACACAAAGAAACUGGUGGAGGAGAGAGGACAGCAAAAAUGCAAGUUGGUUGCUUGUGCAGAUUUUGUAAAAUAGACCUGAAGCAGGGUCCAAACAGUCCUCACAUACACACAGGCUUUCCUGGCGUAGCAGGGAAAUAUGGUCAUUGCCCUGCUAAAGUCUUUUCCAUUUACCAACCUCAGGGCAUGCAGAAAGAGAUGACCUGGAAAGAGUUUAAAGAGUCUGCAUUUUUUGAGAACAAAUGGGCAGAAAAAAAAGAAAUGCAUGUUUAUUUUUCAGUGUGAGAUUAUUAUAUGUAU
Sinocyclocheilus grahami is the source of this 1223-nucleotide long non-coding RNA. RefSeq lists it as uncharacterized. NCBI's taxonomy places the organism in Eukaryota, Metazoa, Chordata, Actinopteri, Cypriniformes, Cyprinidae. The record is from RefSeq and is a predicted model, not a curated record. The transcript is spliced from 3 exons.